RNAcentral lists this ribosomal RNA (450 nucleotides) under uncultured bacterium. RNAcentral's name for it is "partial 16S ribosomal RNA". It matches the Rfam family "Bacterial small subunit ribosomal RNA", at positions 338 to 795 of the family's 1533-position model. The record is from RNAcentral.
CCUACGGGGGGCUGCAGUAAGGAAUAUUGGUCAAUGGACGCAAGUCUGAACCAGCCAUGCCGCGUGGAGGAUGAAGGUCCUCUGGAUUGUAAACUUCUUUUAUUUGGGAAGAAACUCCCGAUUUCCAUCGGGAUUGACGGUACCAGAUGAAUAAGCACCGGCUAACUCCGUGCCAGCAGCCGCGGUAAGACGGAGGGUGCAAGCGUCAUUGGGGUUCACGGGUUUUAAGGGGUGCGGGGGUGUCCGGGUAGAAAUCUCCGGGCUUAACCCGGAAACUGCCAUUGAUACUAUUUGUCUUGAAUACUCUGGAGGUGAGCGGAAUAUGUCAUGUAGCGGUGAAAUGCUUAGAUAUGACAUAGAACACCCAUUGCGAAGGCAGCUCACUACGGAAAUAUUGACGCUGAGGCACGAAAGCGUGGGGAUCAAACAGGAUUAGAUACCCGAGUAGUC